AUGUAUGUGACUAAUUGCUGCUGCUCUUUUCUCACUUGGCCUGUGUCGGGCGGAGGGUCUGCAUGGAGAAUUCAACUGAAGCGAAUCGGGAGCAGCUCUACUCUGCGACUCAUAUCUCAGUCGACUUUGAAAGAGUCUACUUCUUCUGCAAAUGGAGAGUUCAACACAACAAAGACACGACUGUUGCUGUCAGUCAUCCAGCUGGAGACAGGACUCACUUCCAAAGCAAAGAAAGGAUUUUCUGCAGAACUCCCGAUGCAAAGCCCAAAGACAGCUAACCCCUUCUUCAGGACCAAGAACAGGUUAACUCCAGGCAGUCACUGCCCUUUGUCACCUGGCUACUCACUGGCGAGUCACUCAUGAACCAGAGACUCCCAAAACCCUCCCACUAACCCAGGGGUCUGCAACCUUUUGUAUCAAAAGAGCCAUUUUGGCCCAUCUCCCGCAAAAAUUUUUUUUUUGGAGCCGCAAACUUUUUAAUUCACCCCCUCCCCCCUCCGGAGACGCUAACGCUGCGCACCGCACAGACAUUUUUUGUGACACUCUGUAAAAAAAUAACAUAAAUCUUUAGCUGUCAUGUGGCAUCAGGGAGUAGCCUACAGUACAGUAGACUACAGUAGCCAGUCAGCAGCGUCAACCGUUGACGUUCUACGUGAUCGGUCAUGGCCAGCAAUGUAAACAAGGAAUAGAUAGCAUAGCAUAGCGAUACAAUAGUCAAGUAAUGAAAAAACUGUAAGGACCUUUAUUAUCAAAAUAUAACGUACUGAAACUUUAAUAUUCAACACAAGAACUUUAAUGCUGUAAACCCUUCUCGCUCAGUAUUCGUUCGUGCAAUUGGCUGUCAACGGUGGAUGCUGCUGAUUGGCGGCUCACUGGCAUGUCCCGCCUCCUGCCAAUGGCAGCAUCUAGGCUACUUCCUGAUGCCAGAUGCCAGUUAAAGAUUUAACUCCUACUGGGAUUAGCCAACUGCAAAUCAACGAAGCUUUGUCAUUCACUCCCCCCCUCACGGUAGCGCAAUUGCGCAUCCAUUGCGACCUCUCGUUUAGUUGACGAUAUAUAUCAAAAUAUAUAUAUAAUUUUUUUUUUUUUUUUUUUUUUUUUAAGAAAACUGCAGGGAGCCACGGCUGAGGGGCUAAAGAGCCGCAUGCGGCUCCGGAGCCGCAGGUUGCCGACCCCUGCACUAACCACAUACACACACACGUGUCGCAUGCUCAGCCGUCCUGGUAGGGGAUCUCUCUUUGACUUGGCCUACCUAAAGGUUUCUCCUUUUUCCCCUAAUAAGGGUUUUAAAGAGUUUUUCCUUUAAUGCUUGGAGAGUCUAAGGCUGAUGAUGCAAGACACACAAAUGUGUAAUAGUCUGAUGGGACCCAAAGUUGAGCUUUGUUUUCAUGUUAGUUUUAUGCUUUGAUAUUUUCAUGAACCUAUAAGAUUGUAAUAAAAUGUAAAUGAAGUGACUAAAAAAUGUAUCAUGUCUGAAUAACCAAGAGGUACGUGGGCAUUACAAAUGGUUUGACUCAAAGGUUUACAUGGUGGAGCAUGUCGUAGCAACUCAAGUAAUCAACUGAGUGUGAGGGAGCUAUUUCUGUAGGUCCAAGCUUAUUGGAACCUCACAUCUUGUGCGCAUUAUUCAACAUUUCCAAACUUUUCAAAGUCUUCAUAUUCAUUUGUUAAUUCAAUUUAGCUUCAGUUCUUCUAAAUUCAGAAUCAUUCAAUUGUUCAGUCCCAUUCAUUCGUAAUUAUUAUAAUUCCUAGAUUCAGUGUCUUCAUUCUAUAGACUUCAUUCUACCUUCAAAAUGUUCAACAGAUUUCCUAGAUUCAGGGCAUUGAUUCAACCUUCAACUUCAGCAGUAGAGCGGAGCAUUUCAGCGUCAGCAGACUUUAGCAGUAUUACUUCAGAACCCUUCAACUCAUUCAUAAUUCAUUCUACAGACUUCAAUCUACAUUCAAAAGAUUCAGCAGAUUUCCUGGAUUCAGUGUAUUGAUUCAACAUUCAGCUUCAGAUUUGUUAAUUCAAUUUAGCUUCAGUUCUUCUAAAUUCAGAAUCAUUCAAUUGUUCAGUCCCAUUCAUUCAUAAUUAUUAUAUUUCCUAGAUUCAGUGUCUUCAUUCUACAGACUUCAUUCUACCUUCAAAAUGUUCAUCAGAUGUCCUAGAUUCAGUGUCUUCAUUCUACAGACUUCAUUCUACCUUCACAAUGUUCAUCAGAUUUCCUAGAUUCAGCGUCUUCAUUCUACAGGCUUCAUUCUACCUUCAAAAUGUUCAGCAGAUUUCCUAGAUUCAGGGUAUUGAUUCAACAUGCAGCUUCAGCAGUAGAGCGGAGCAUUUCAGCGUCAGCAGACUUUAGCAUUCAACUCAUUCAUAGUUCAUUCUACAGACUUCAUUCUACAUUCAAAAUGUUCAGCAGAUGUCCUAGAUUCAUUGCAACGAUUCUUCAACGUGCAGCUUCAGCAGUAGAGCGGAGCAUUUCAGCGUUAGCAUUCACACCGCAAUACCUUCAGGGAUUGCAAUUCUAGUUAUAAUUAUUCCGCCACUUUUUCUGCGAGCAACUCCUUCAACAGACUUCAACGUAGAAACAUCAUUCAAACAUUAAAACGUUCAGCUCCAUUAGUAGUAUUAUGCUAUUAUUUUUCUCAUUGAUAUUAUUCAUAAUUCCCGAGAUAUUCAACUUUAUUCACCGAAAAUUGCCCCAUUCACUCCCAUUCAAAAUUCAAAAAACGCUGAUUCACCCUUCAUCCGAUUCAACACUUCCAACAUUCAAACCUUCAUAACUUGGUCAAAUUUCAACCGUUUACCAUCAUUCAAAUAAUUAAACAGAUCUACACAUUUGUAUCUUCAAUAAUCUUCAAACAGAAUUUCGAUAUCAUUUAUAGUUUUUUCAGAUUCACAGUUUUAGUUUUAAUUCCGGAUUCGUUUUCAGUUGCUCUCACUCUAACCGUUUGCCAUGGCAACAGCUCGUUGACCAAUCAGUGGUCUCCAACAGUCGAUAUUCAAAUGAGGCAGAUUCAUCCUUGACUCGAUUCAACCCUUCCAACAUUCAAACCUUCAUAACUUCGUCAAAUUUCAACCGUUUACCAUCAUUCAAAGAAUUAAACGGAUCUACACAUUCGGAUCUUCAAUAAUAUUCAAACAUAAUUUCGAUAUCAUUUAUAGUUUUUUCAGAUUCACAGUUUUAGUUUUAUUUUUAUUAUAAAUAUUCCGGCACUUUUUCGCAACGUGACUCCUUCAACAUACUUCAACGUACAAACAUCAUUCAAACAUUAAAACGUUCAGCUCCAUUAGGAAUAGUGUGCUAUUAUUUUUCUUAUUGAUAUUGUACGUAAUUCCCGAGAUAUUCAACGUUAUUCACCGAAAAUUCCCCCAUUCAUUCCUAUUGGAAAAUUAAAAAAACGCUGAUUCAUCCUUCAUCCUAUUCCAACACUUCCAACAUUCAAACCUUCACAACUUGGUCAAAUUUCAACCGUUUACCAUCAUUCAAAGAAUUAAACAGAUCUACACAUUUGUAUCUUCAAUAAUAUUGAAACAGAAUUUUGAUAUCAUUUAUAGUUUUUUCAGAUUCACAGUUUUAGUGUCAAACCGUCAUAUUCUACAGUUUGUCCCAUUGAGGCAGUCUGCCCAUUCUGGCACUUCAAUUACUAAAGACAUUGUAACUAAAUCAUUUUUCAGCCGUUUACCAUCGCUGAAACAAUUAAACAAAUGUAGACAUUUGUAUCUUCAAUAAUAUCUAAACGAAAUUUCGAUAGCAUUUAAACUUUCUCCAGAAUCACAGUUCUGGUUUGACACCGGAUUAGUUUUCAGUUGGUUUCAUUUAUUUCCGUUGACAUUCAGGCAGUCUCCCUUAACCACACACACACACACACACACACACACACACACACACACACACACACACACACACACACACACACACACACACACACACACACACACACACACACACACACACACACACCGGCUGUAUGUGUCUCACCGGCUUGGUGAGACACAUACACACACUCACACACAGAUAACAUCGGCCGGGUGAAACACACGCACACACACACACACACACACACACACACACACACACACACACACACACGCGCAAACACACACACGCACACGCAAUCCGAUUUUAACAUUUGGAACUCUGUUCAAAUCCCUCACUUGAAUAAAGCUAUUCAACAUUUAUACUGCUCCUCCUACCACUACUACCAUUAGCCGGCAGACUAAAUGAAGAAUGCGUUAUGUAAAAUUGAGGACAGUGUUAACUCUCACUGUUUCUCAAACACGCACGGGAAGGCACAUUUUAUUUGUUUGGCUGAAUCCGAAUACUCAUACUUGACUGCUAUAUAGUAUGCAUUUUGUAGUACGCCACAAAUAUAGUGCGUCCAAAUGCUCCGUACGCAUUGUGUAGUACGGAAAACGUUUCCGAAUGCGUACUACCGCCACAGUAAACAAUGGAGUUCACAACGCUAUCCCACAAUGCAACCGGAGUGUGGUAACGAACGAAGAGAUCCGACACCACCAUCUGAGGGGAUAUACGUCAUCUCCAAAACAUCCGGUGGAGUUUCGGCGAUGUUCGGAAGCGUUCCAACUUCCAAGCAUAGCUGUAGACCGUACUACACUGUUAAGUGUACCGUCAAGUAGUAGACACUGAAGGGCUUUCUUACCUUUUCAUAAGAUAACUUUUGCUCCACAUGGGACAUUGUAGAGAGCGGAUCCUUGGUUUGAUCACUUGUAUGAAAGUAUAAUAUACUGUACAUUGUACGCUGUUUUGUGUAGUUAUACUGUAUAUAGUAUGGGUAGAUUUGUACUUUGAGUUUAUGCCAAAAAGCACCAACUUUGUUUUGGUAACAAUAUAUAAUUGUGAGAUUCAAUUUCCGUUUGACUUUGUUGUCCCAUCAUAAGUUUUUACUUUCAAACGAUAUCACCGCAGCACAAAUACUCAUGACAGCCCAGGUUUUCCUGAAAGCAUGUUUGAAGCCUGUCUUUGCAUUACAGGGUUGAUAUUAUAGCCACAAACAUGCAAUGAAUCCAGAGGAUAUACCAUUUACGAUUCAUAUCAACACAUCAAUAAACACUUCAGUUUAGUCAGAAAACUGGAUUUAUUAAAA
Molecule: long non-coding RNA, 5091 nt
Organism: Gadus morhua (Atlantic cod)
Lineage: Eukaryota; Metazoa; Chordata; Actinopteri; Gadiformes; Gadidae
Source: Ensembl